GAGAAGAACGCAGCGAAAUGCGAUACGUAAUGUGAAUUGCAGAAUUCAGUGAAUCAUCGAAUCUUUGAACGCAUAUUGCGCUCUCUGGUAUUCCGGAGAGCAUGCUUGUUUGAGUAUCAGUAAACACCUCAACUUCCAUAUCUUUUUUUGAAAUGGGAGUUGGACUUGAGUGAUCCCAACGCUUUUCCUCACCGAAAAGUGGCGGGUUACUUGAAAUGCAGGUGCAGCUGGACUUUUCUCUGAGCUAUAAGCAUAUCUAUUUAGUCUGCCUAAAAAACAGAUUAUUACCUUUGCUGCAGCUAACAUAAAGGAGAUUAGUUCUUGUGCUGACUGAUGCAGGAUUCACAAAGACAGCUUCGGCCGACUUUGUAAACUCGAUCUCAAAUCAAGUAAGACUACCCGCUGAACUUAAGCAUAUCAAUAAGCGGAGGA
This 432-nucleotide unclassified non-coding RNA is filed under the name soil metagenome. Its description in RNAcentral is "partial contains 5.8S ribosomal RNA, internal transcribed spacer 2, and large subunit ribosomal RNA". The stretch from base 3 to 119 matches the Rfam family "5.8S ribosomal RNA", at positions 38 to 154 of the family's 154-position model. The record is from RNAcentral.